This 871-nucleotide small RNA is filed under the name Pongo abelii (Sumatran orangutan). RNAcentral's name for it is "retained intron". Lineage: Eukaryota; Metazoa; Chordata; Mammalia; Primates; Hominidae. The record is from RNAcentral.
GAUUUUCCUUUGUUAUAGUACUAAAGGAGAUGAUUAGCAAUAUCUAGAGUUCUGAAAAUGAAUAUUUAAAUAGUUUCAGGAAUAAAAAGUACAAAAGAAGACUGGUUAAAAUGUGUUGCUACAAAGAAAAGGACACAGAAAGACAGCCAAGAGAAAGAUAAUGUUAAUUCAAGACUCUCAAAGAGAAGCUUCAGUGCAGAUGGAUUUGAGAUGCUACAAAACCCAGUAAAAGAUUCAAAAGAAAUGUUUCAAACCUACAAACAGAUGUACCUGGAGAAGAGAAGCAGAAGCCUUGGUAGCAGUCCUGUAAAAUAAUUACAAGAUGUGGUUUUGUAAUUGCCACUGGGAAAUUUCUUUCCUUUUCUGUUCAAAAUAUUUCGCUGAAACUAAUGAGAAAUGCCAUGAUAAAGAUUUCUCAGAGUUUGGUUCCCACUUUCAUUAUGUUUCAUUGAAAGUGCUUAAGAACUUUGGGUAGCCAUGUGUAAGAAAUGGAUGAUGUUCACCGGGGAAACAUAAGGUAUUUGAAUUUCUGCUUUAUUGAACCAGGUUUGCUAUUAUUUUAAAUGGAGUGCUUAUACAAAUCAAUUUGAAAUUCUACCCAUCUUGAGGGAGGACUGUUCCUCAGUUAAGGACUUGUUUAUUUAAAUGGGACUGUAAAUAUGUUUUGGUUUCUAAGCUAUAUUAGCAAAAUUUAUUUUUCAAAAAUGCCCACUGUGAUGUGAAUGUCAAAAUAUAUUCUUAAGUGUUUUAUAACUAAUUGUAAACUUUUUUUCAGAAGUCUUAUUUUAUACUUGUGAAACUGAACAUAAUUUUGGGACAACGUUUAAACAUUACUUUUCAUACUUGAAAUAAACAUUUAUUUUUUAAAAAA